UAACGCUCAUAAACAUCACAUAUUUAGAUAUCUCCCUCCCCCCUCCCCCCACCGCCGUUACAAGUGAGAAACUGAGGCGGGGAACGGGAGGAUUCCGAGCACUCUACACAAACCCAAACCUUGUUUUCUCCUUUGUUCUUUUCAUCCUGCGGCCUCUGACAGACUAAAAUCUCGUGCCUGCGAGAGGGCGAGCUAGCCAGUGGAGCAAGAAGAUAAGAUAUGUGAGCUGAGUCUUGAAGUUGGCCAGGCUCCAAGGAAGGUCUGUGGCUUAGACAUCCCACUACCAUCGCUGUCAACCCAGGUGCCCUUUAAACAUUCAUUGCCUAGAUGGAUGAAAAAAAGCAACCAAAGUUUGUAUGGACCUAAGAGAUUUGCCUUCUUUGGGUGAACACCAGAGUGAAGCUGGAUCAAACUUCAAGACUCUUUGCCAAACUGUCUUUAAAAAUGACAGUGCUCUUUUACAUUUCCGUUAGCAGUCAAUGAGAGUUAUCCAUAUCUUUGUCAGCAUUUGAUACCAUCAUUCAAGAAAUGUAGGCAUCUUAAUAUGCCAUCCUCUACAAUCCAGCUGAACGAAUCACUCAGGGUCCAUGAAGCAAUAAUGCACCGCUUCCCUGGCCUGGAAUAUUGUCCCUGCCUUGCAGAGUCUGAGAAUAUCUUAAAGCUACUGCAGAUUUCAGUUUGGGAACAGAGAAGAAUGACACCAGCUGGAAGUUACCUACUUCCUAACUCCACCUAUUUUGUUUUUGGCAGAACUUAUUUCUGGUCCGUCUUCUGGACUAAACCAAGUAUAGCCAGCUGGCCCAGCCCAGUUCUUCCCAAAGAAGAAUCAUAAUGUUUCAAUAGGCAACUAUUCCCACAGCAGUGAACCAGCUCUUAAGCUGUAUCGAAGGCCAUUAGGGUGCUGCAGCCAAUUCCAGGGGGCCAAGUAGAGCAUUUAAGUUUGAGAGGUACUACCUAAGAAAAGUACUGGCUCCCGGGAGUUUGCAACUUCAUUACAUGGCUGCCUUACAUCACUUUGACAUAAUUUUGAGAAGCUGAGUUUUCAGUGCUGGCUGUGACAAGAAGCAAAUGCAAAUCAGUACAUAACAGGAAGUCUUGGUGAAAGCGUCUAUGUUGAUUACAGCUUGACAAGUUGCACAGUCCCAACAGGUAAACAGAUCCCACUAACUGCAGUUUAACAAUAAAAUGAACAUCCCUU
Molecule: long non-coding RNA, 1198 nt
Organism: Perognathus longimembris pacificus (Pacific pocket mouse)
Lineage: Eukaryota; Metazoa; Chordata; Mammalia; Rodentia; Heteromyidae
Exons: 4
Source: RefSeq, a predicted model, not a curated record